Aquimixticola soesokkakensis is the source of this 82-nucleotide transfer RNA. It matches the Rfam family "tRNA". From Rfam's summary of the family: Transfer RNA (tRNA) molecules are approximately 80 nucleotides in length. Their secondary structure includes four short double-helical elements and three loops (D, anti-codon, and T loops). Lineage: Bacteria; Pseudomonadati; Pseudomonadota; Alphaproteobacteria; Rhodobacterales; Paracoccaceae. The record is from Rfam.
GCCCAGAUGGCGGAAUUGGUAGACGCGCACGGUUCAGGUCCGUGUGCCGCAAGGCGUGGAGGUUCGAGUCCUCUUCUGGGCA